UGGGGAAUAUUGGACAAUGGGGGCAACCCUGAUCCAGCCAUGCCGCGUGUGUGAAGAAGGCUUUCGGGUUGUAAAGCACUUUCAGUGAGGAGGAAAACCUUACGACUAAUACUCGUGAGGCUUGACGUUACUCACAGAAGAAGCACCGGCUAACUCCGUG
RNAcentral lists this ribosomal RNA (160 nucleotides) under uncultured marine bacterium. RNAcentral describes it as "partial 16S ribosomal RNA". It matches the Rfam family "Bacterial small subunit ribosomal RNA", at positions 355 to 507 of the family's 1533-position model. RNAcentral also lists the same sequence under 1 other name. The record is from RNAcentral.